AACGUCCCAAAAUAUAUAACAGUGACCUUGCAAAAUCUUAACCCUUGUCUAAGAAAAGCGUAGAUGGUUCCUCUUCAUCUCUCUUACCCCUCUUGUUAUCUCCUCCACUUUACUUCUUCUGCAUGAGCCACACCCACUUCUUCACCAAAUGGGGUGGCUGCAAUCCCUCCUCUCUCCACUCAAGAAGUUCUGGCUCCGCUUCAAUUCAACUCAAAAGAAGAGAAGAGGGAUUUACAUUCUGUAUGAAGAUGUCAAGUCUUGCCCCUAUGAAGACGUGCACGUUCUCUGGUCCAUACUGGUGGAACCGCAUUCACCUUCUAUGCCAUCCAAAAAAAUGAAGGCCUUGGAUACAAGACAAAAUUGAGAAGGGGCUAUAGUAAUGAUGUACAUAAUAAAAUAUUUAUAAUGUUCAUACUAUAUAUAGAGUGUUUUUAUCUUACUUUUACCUUUUCCUUUAACUUUUGUAGCAUCAGUAGCAGACAGUGACUUUUGCUUUUGAAGCAUCUACCAAGUUCUUAUAUAUAAAAAUUUACUUAUCUUUGUA
Long non-coding RNA from Vigna unguiculata (cowpea), 544 nucleotides. The record is from RefSeq and is a predicted model, not a curated record. NCBI's taxonomy places the organism in Eukaryota, Viridiplantae, Streptophyta, Magnoliopsida, Fabales, Fabaceae.